CCUACGGGAGGCAGCAGUGGGGAAUAUUGGACAAUGGGCGCAAGCCUGAUCCAGCCAUACCGCGUGUGUGAAGAAGGCCUUUUGGUUGUAAAGCACUUUAAGCGAGGAGGAGGCUCUUGAGGAUAAUACCCUUGAUGAGUGGACGUUACUCGCAGAAUAAGCACCGGCUAACUCUGUGCCAGCAGCCGCGGUAAUACAGAGGGUGCGAGCGUUAAUCGGAAUUACUGGGCGUAAAGCGCGCGUAGGCGGCUUGUUAAGUCGGAUGUGAAAUCCCCGGGCUCAACCUGGGCACUGCAUUCGAUACUGGCAAGCUAGAGUAUGGGAGAGGAAGGUAGAAUUCCAGGUGUAGCGGUGAAAUGCGUAGAGAUCUGGAGGAAUACCGAUGGCGAAGGCAGCCUUCUGGCCUAAUACUGACGCUGAGGUGCGAAAGCAUGGGGANCAAACAGGAUUAGAUACCCUGGUAGUCCAUGCCGUAAACGAUGUCAACUAGCCGUUGGGGACCUUGAGUCUUUAGUGGCGCAGCUAACGCGAUAAGUUGACCGCCGUGGGGAGUACGGUCGCGAAGACUAAAACUCAAAGGAAUUGACGG
This 589-nucleotide ribosomal RNA is filed under the name uncultured bacterium. Its description in RNAcentral is "bacterial SSU rRNA". It matches the Rfam family "Bacterial small subunit ribosomal RNA", at positions 338 to 916 of the family's 1533-position model. The record is from RNAcentral.